Long non-coding RNA from Lynx canadensis (Canada lynx), 220 nucleotides. RefSeq lists it as uncharacterized. NCBI's taxonomy places the organism in Eukaryota, Metazoa, Chordata, Mammalia, Carnivora, Felidae. The transcript has 3 exons. The record is from RefSeq and is a predicted model, not a curated record.
GUAAAAUGUCUUUCUUCUUGACAUGGAUCAAAGCUAUUUUUAUCACUGCCCUGGCAUUUCCUCAUUAUUCUGAAACUGGUUUUGAACCUUCACCAGAAAUUCGUAGACUCCCAAACUGUGAUGUGUAUGUACAUCAAUUACAUUUUUGCACAAGAGAAAUGGAUCCAGUCUGUGCAACCAAUGGCCAAACUUAUUCCAAUACAUGCGUUUUCUGCAGUGA